GAGGGUAUGGCUCAGUGGCAGAGUGCAUGCUCAGCACGCACAAGGUCCUGGGUUCAAUCCCCAGUCCCUCCA
This 72-nucleotide transfer RNA is filed under the name Camelus bactrianus (Bactrian camel). It matches the Rfam family "tRNA". Rfam says of the family: Transfer RNA (tRNA) molecules are approximately 80 nucleotides in length. Lineage: Eukaryota; Metazoa; Chordata; Mammalia; Artiodactyla; Camelidae. RNAcentral also lists the same sequence under 2 other names. The record is from Rfam by way of RNAcentral.